Molecule: ribosomal RNA, 445 nt
Filed under: uncultured bacterium
Lineage: Bacteria
Description: partial 16S ribosomal RNA
Rfam family: Bacterial small subunit ribosomal RNA
Source: RNAcentral
AACGAACGCUGGCGGCAGGCUUAACACAUGCAAGUCGAGCGCCCGCAAGGGAGCGGCAGACGAGUGAGUAACGCGUGGGAAUCUACCUAGUUCUACGGAACAACACAGGGAAACUUGUGCUAAUACCGUAUACGCCCUACGGGGGAAAGAUUUAUCGGAAUUAGAUGAGCCCGCGUUGGAUUAGCUAGUUGGUGGGGUAAUGGCCUACCAAGGCGACGAUCCAUAGCUGGUCUGAGAGGAUGAUCAGCCACACUGGGACUGAGACACGGCCCAGACUCCUACGGGAGACAGCAGUGGGGAAUAUUGGACAAUGGGCGCAAGCCUGAUCCAGCCAUGCCGCGUGAGUGAUGAAGGCCCUAGGGUUGUAAAGCUCUUUCACCGGUGAAGAUAAUGACGGUAACCGGAGAAGAAGCCCCGGCUAACUUCGUGCCAGCAGCCGCGGUAA